This 541-nucleotide ribosomal RNA is filed under the name uncultured bacterium. RNAcentral's name for it is "bacterial SSU rRNA". It matches the Rfam family "Bacterial small subunit ribosomal RNA", at positions 770 to 1299 of the family's 1533-position model. The record is from RNAcentral.
ACCCAAUAGAUACCCUGGUAGUCUACGCCGUAAACGAUGCGCACUAGAUUCGAGGGCCACUGACGGUCCUCGGGUCGAAAAACAAAAAAGCGUUAAGUGCGCCGCCUGGGGAGUACGGCCGCAAGGCUAAAACUCAAAGGAAUUGACGGGGGCUCACACAAGCGGUGGAGCAUGUGGAUCAAUUCGAAGCAACGCGAAGAACCUUACCUGGGUUUGACAUGCAUGGAUGGUCGCCUCGAAAGAGGAGUGAUCUGCCCGCAAGGGUGAAACAUGUACAGGUGCUGCAUGGCUGUCGUCAGCUCGUGCUGUGAAGUGUCGGGUUAAAGUCCCUUAACGAGCGAAACCCUUAUCGUUAGUUGCCAGCGGGUCAAGCCGGGAACUCUAACGAGACUGCCGGCGUUAAGCCGGAGGAAGGCGGGGACGACGUCAAGUCAUCAUGGCCUUUAUGCCCAGGGUGUCACACGUGCUACAAUGGGGCGUACAGAGCGAAGCAAGACCGCAAGGUGGAGCAAAUCGCAGAAAACGUCCCUCAGUUCGGAUU